CAGUCGCCGCUGGAACACGAAGGGGGCUAGCGUUGUUCGGAUUUACUGGGCGUAAAGGGCGCGUAGGCGGAUUUGUAAGUCAGGGGUGAAAUCCCGAGGCUCAACCUCGGAACUGCCUUUGAUACUAUGGAUCUUGAGUCCGGGAGAGGUGAGUGGAACUGCGAGUGUAGAGGUGAAAUUCGUAGAUAUUCGCAAGAACACCAGUGGCGAAGGCGGCUUACUGGCUCGAAACUGACGCUGAGGCGCGAAAGCGUGGGGAGCAAACAGGAUUAGAUACCCCAGUAGUCCCUGUCUCUUAUAC
This 301-nucleotide ribosomal RNA is filed under the name uncultured bacterium. RNAcentral describes it as "partial 16S ribosomal RNA". It matches the Rfam family "Bacterial small subunit ribosomal RNA", at positions 509 to 807 of the family's 1533-position model. The record is from RNAcentral.